RNAcentral lists this ribosomal RNA (460 nucleotides) under uncultured bacterium. RNAcentral describes it as "partial 16S ribosomal RNA". It matches the Rfam family "Bacterial small subunit ribosomal RNA", at positions 338 to 795 of the family's 1533-position model. The record is from RNAcentral.
CCUACGGGAGGCAGCAGUGAGGAAUAUUGGUCAAUGGACGAGAGUCUGAACCAGCCAAGCAGCGUGAAGGAUGACUGCCCUAUGGGUUGUAAACUUCUUUUAUAUGGGAAUAAAACAGGGUAUGCAUACACUCUUGUAUGUACCAUAUGAAUAAGGAUCGGCUAACUCCGUGCCAGCAGCCGCGGUAAUCCGGAGGAUCCGAGCGUUAUCCGGAUUUAUUUGGUUUAAAGGGAGCGUAGGUGGGUUGUUAAGUCAGUUGUGAAAGUUUGCGGCUCAACCGUAAAAGUGCAGUUGAAACUGGUAGUAUUGAGUACAGGAGAGGUAGGCGGAAUUCGUAGUGUAGCGGUGAAAUGCUUAGAUAUCACGAAGAACUCCGAUGGCGAAGGCAGCUUACUGGACUGCAACGGAAGCUGAUGCUCGAAAGUGUGGGUAUCAAACAGGAUUAGAUACCCCAGUAGUC